GACGAACGCUGGCGGCGUGCUUAACACAUGCAAGUCGAACGGAAGGGCCCUGCUUUUGUGGGGUGCUCGAGUGGCGAACGGGUGAGUAACACGUGAGUAACCUGCCCUUGACUUUGGGAUAACUUCAGGAAACUGGGGCUAAUACCGGAUAGGAGCUCCUGCUGCAUGGUGGGGGUUGGAAAGUUUCGGCGGUUGGGGAUGGACUCGCGGCUUAUCAGCUUGUUGGUGGGGUAGUGGCUUACCAAGGCUUUGACGGGUAGCCGGCCUGAGAGGGUGACCGGCCACAUUGGGACUGAGAUACGGCCCAGACUCCUGCGGGAGGCAGCAGUGGGGAAUAUUGCACAAUGGGCGGAAGCCUGAUGCAGCAACGCCGCGUGCGGGAUGACGGCCUUCGGGUUGUAAACCGCUUUCGCCUGUGACGAAGCGUGAGUGACGGUAAUGGGUAAAGAAGCACCGGCUAACUACGUG
This 468-nucleotide ribosomal RNA is filed under the name uncultured bacterium. RNAcentral's name for it is "partial 16S ribosomal RNA". It matches the Rfam family "Bacterial small subunit ribosomal RNA", at positions 28 to 507 of the family's 1533-position model. The record is from RNAcentral.